This 460-nucleotide ribosomal RNA is filed under the name uncultured bacterium. RNAcentral's name for it is "partial 16S ribosomal RNA". It matches the Rfam family "Bacterial small subunit ribosomal RNA", at positions 338 to 795 of the family's 1533-position model. The record is from RNAcentral.
CCUACGGGAGUCAGCAGUGAGGAAUAUUGGUCAAUGGUCGAGAGUCUGAACCAGCCAAGUAGCGUGAAGGAUGACUGCCCUAUGGGUUGUAAACUUCUUUUAUAUGGGAAUAAAACGUUCCACGUGUGGGAUUUUGUAUGUACCAUAUGAAUAAGGAUCGGCUAACUCCGUGCCAGCAGCCGCGGUAAUACGGAGGAUCCGAGCGUUAUCCGGAUUUAUUGGGUUUAAAGGGAGCGUAGGUGGAUUGUUAAGUCAGUUGUGAAAGUUUGCGGCUCAACCGUAACAUUGCAGUUGAAACUGGCAGUCUUGAGUACAGUAGAGGUGGGCGGAAUUCGUGGUGUAGCGGUGAAAUGCUUAGAUAUCACGAAGAACUCCGAUUGCGAAGGCAGUUCACUGGACUGCAACUGACACUGAGGCUCGAAAGUGUGGGUAUCAAACAGGAUUAGAUACCCUAGUAGUC